AUACUGAGGGUGCAAGCGUUAAUCGGAAUUACUGGGCGUAAAGCGCGCGUAGGCGGUUAAAUAAGUCAGAUGAGAAAUCCCUGGGCUCAACCUAGGAACUGCAUCUGAAACUGUUUAACUAGAGUUUUGGAGAGGUAAGUGGAAUUUCCGGUGUAGCGGUGAAAUGCAUAGAGAUCGGAAGGAACACCAGUGGCGAAGGCGACUUACUGGCCAAAAACUGACGCUGAGGUGCGAAAGCGUGGGUAGCGAACAGGAUUAGAAACCCUAGUAGUCC
Molecule: ribosomal RNA, 274 nt
Filed under: uncultured bacterium
Lineage: Bacteria
Description: partial 16S ribosomal RNA
Rfam family: Bacterial small subunit ribosomal RNA
Source: RNAcentral